GAGCGGUAGAGAGAAGCUUGCUUCUCUUGAGAGCGGCGGACGGGUGAGUAAUGCCUAGGAAUCUGCCUGGUAGUGGGGGAUAACGUCCGGAAACGGACGCUAAUACCGCAUACGUCCUACGGGAGAAAGCAGGGGACCUUCGGGCCUUGCGCUAUCAGAUGAGCCUAGGUCGGAUUAGCUAGUUGGUGGGGUAAUGGCUCACCAAGGCGACGAUCCGUAACUGGUCUGAGAGGAUGAUCAGUCACACUGGAACUGAGACACGGUCCAGACUCCUACGGGAGGCAGCAGUGGGGAAUAUUGGACAAUGGGCGAAAGCCUGAUCCAGCCAUGCCGCGUGUGUGAAGAAGGUCUUCGGAUUGUAAAGCACUUUAAGUUGGGAGGAAGGGCAGUAAAUUAAUACUUUGCUGUUUUGACGUUACCGACAGAAUAAGCACCGGCUA
Molecule: ribosomal RNA, 440 nt
Filed under: uncultured bacterium
Lineage: Bacteria
Description: bacterial SSU rRNA
Rfam family: Bacterial small subunit ribosomal RNA
Source: RNAcentral